CAUGCCUGCGCCAAUAGUUCAAAGGCGCUAAUGGUGGGAGUCAGGGUUGCAGGUUCAAUAGGUUCAACCUUCUGGUCUCCGGAGUUGUUUUCGCUCUGCUGUUACGGUACCCCGGCCCCGGAAUAGGGACGGUGUGGGCCAGGAGGCAGGGGCGAGUGGUUGGGUCUUACGCCUUCUUAAGCGGAGGUUCAGUGGUCUGGCACCAGAUACAUGAGGGUAGUGUGGCUCCUCCCUGUCCUGAGUCAGCUAUCCUGCCUCCUGGGGGUACCGGGUUUUUUUUGUCAUCCAUCUGGCUGGAAUGACCUGGGUUUGGUGAUUGUUUGGGGUUUGGGUUGAUCUUAAAUCUGGACAUGUUACGCAGUCU
Molecule: non-coding RNA, 364 nt
Organism: Pelobates cultripes (western spadefoot toad)
Lineage: Eukaryota; Metazoa; Chordata; Amphibia; Anura; Pelobatidae
Source: the annotation of a GenBank genome assembly